RNAcentral lists this small nuclear RNA (23 nucleotides) under Arabidopsis thaliana (thale cress). RNAcentral's name for it is "snRNA_00054". Lineage: Eukaryota; Viridiplantae; Streptophyta; Magnoliopsida; Brassicales; Brassicaceae. The record is from RNAcentral.
GGCCUCGGCAAAUGAGGUCAAGA